This 454-nucleotide ribosomal RNA is filed under the name uncultured bacterium. Its description in RNAcentral is "partial 16S ribosomal RNA". It matches the Rfam family "Bacterial small subunit ribosomal RNA", at positions 28 to 507 of the family's 1533-position model. The record is from RNAcentral.
GAUGAACGCUGACAGAAUGCUUAACACAUGCAAGUCAACUUGAACUUCGGUUUGGGUGGCGGACGGGUGAGUAACGCGUAAAGAACUUGCCUCACAGAUAGGGACAACAUUUGGAAACGAAUGCUAAUACCUGAUAUUAUGAUUAUAUGGCAUCGUAUAAUUAUGAAAGCUAUAUGCGCUGUGAGAGAGCUUUGCGUCCCAUUAGCUAGUUGGAGAGGUAACGGCUCACCAAGGCGAUGAUGGGUAGCCGUCCUGAGAGGGUGAUCGGCCACAAGGGGACUGAGACACGGCCCUUACUCCUACGGGAGGAAGAAGUGGGGAAUAUUGGACAAUGGACCAAGAGUUUGAUAGAGACAUUCUGUGUGCACGAUGAAGUUUUUCGGAAUGUAAAGUGCUUUCAGUUGAGAAGAAAAAAAUGACGGUACCAACAGAAGAAGUGACGGCUAAAUACGUG